GUCGGAGGGUGGGGAAGGCAGCUAGCUUCCUCUUGGAUCUGGAGCCAAGAUCACGCCCUGAAACGGGGAAACUCCCUCCCCUCCAUCGUCAGAGGUUCCAUCACAGCCUCCACUCCUGGGAUGAGAAAAGCAAAUUGACUCUUCAUGUGUGUGGAGUUCCCCACUGACUGGGAACAAAUGCUCUCAGCAAGUCUCCAGAAAAGGGGGCCUCCCGGGCUCCCAGGGGUGUGACGUGGGGUGGGUGUGUUUUUGAUAUGGGAGUGUGGUGGUGCCAGAAUGUAAGUCAUCUGCAUACAGGCCCCAUCUCAUGCAGAAAUGUGGGAGGUGCUCACAGCCCACGAGCCUCCCUGAGGCCUGGGUGAGGCACAGAAGCCAGUUCAGUUCGUCACCAGGUGGCUGGGGAAUGGGAAUGAGGCGCUCCCUCCCUGUGGAGUCUUCAACAGUGUUGGGGGACAGCCGCAUUCACCUGAGCGUCCUCCUGAAACCUCAAGCCAGGGGCUGCUGAGCUCUGCUGGACAGAAGUGAAGGCCUCCUCACAGGGCCGGCUCCAUGGAUCUGAGAUGUGCUCCAACAACCAUCAUGAUCUUUCCAGUCAGGGAGAAGCAAACGGGAUUAACCAACUGCUUGUUUAUUGCCUACUGUUCAUGAGCAAGAGGUGAAGCAGCACAAGGUGUUCACCAGACACGGCUGCCCGAGCUUGGACUUCACAGCCUCCAGAACUGCGAGCCAAAAUAAACUUCUUUCCUUUAUAAAUUACCCAGUCUCAGAUAUUCUAUUAUAACAACAGAAAAUGGACUAGGUGUACAGUUUUACCUGUAAAUAAUUUGGGGAGCUACGUGUCCAACAUUGUCC
RNAcentral lists this long non-coding RNA (852 nucleotides) under Homo sapiens (human). Its description in RNAcentral is "HSALNT0371792". The record is from RNAcentral. Lineage: Eukaryota; Metazoa; Chordata; Mammalia; Primates; Hominidae.